GGUGGAUUAGUGGCGAACGGGUGAGUAACACGUGAGCAAUCUGCCCUUGACUCUGGGAUAACUGCGGGAAACUGUAGCUAAUACCGGAUACGACACCUUGGGGCAUCCCGAGGUGUGGAAAGAAUUUUGGUCAAGGAUGAGCUCGCGGCCUAUCAGCUAGUUGGUGAGGUAAAGGCUCACCAAGGCGACGACGGGUAGCCGGCCUGAGAGGGUGACCGGCCACACUGGAACUGAGAUACGGUCCAGACUCCUACGGGAGGCAGCAGUGGGGAAUAUUGCACAAUGGGCGAAAGCCUGAUGCAGCAACGCCGCGUGAGGGAUGAAGGCCUUCGGGUUGUAAACCUCUUUUAUCAGGGAAGAAGCGAAAGUGACGGUACCUGAAGAAAAAGCACCGGCUAACUACGUGCCAGCAGCCGCGGUAAUACGUAGGGUGCAAGCGUUGUCCGGAAUUAUUGGGCGUAAAGAGCUCGUAGGCGGUUUGUCGCGUCUGCUGUGAAAAUCCAAGGCUCAACCUUGG
RNAcentral lists this ribosomal RNA (517 nucleotides) under uncultured Cryobacterium sp. RNAcentral's name for it is "bacterial SSU rRNA". It matches the Rfam family "Bacterial small subunit ribosomal RNA", at positions 86 to 618 of the family's 1533-position model. The record is from RNAcentral. Lineage: Bacteria; Bacillati; Actinomycetota; Actinomycetes; Micrococcales; Microbacteriaceae.